RNAcentral lists this microRNA precursor (77 nucleotides) under Schistosoma haematobium. RNAcentral's name for it is "mir-3492 microRNA precursor family". The record is from Rfam by way of RNAcentral. Lineage: Eukaryota; Metazoa; Platyhelminthes; Trematoda; Strigeidida; Schistosomatidae.
AGGUUUUGAAUCCGUGCCAUGAUUUUGUCAGAUAUCAACCCAUGAUGACUGAUGAAACUUUUAAGAUAAGUAAAACC